GUUUCGGAAGCAUUGUCGGACUCGGCAUUUACAGGAGCAGCUCCACUCUUAUAACCAGCCAUGGCUUCCUUGUAACGUACCUGAUCAGUCCGAGCCAUUGACUCAAAGGGCUCUUUCUCCUCAGCUGACAUCUUCUUCCAGCGUUCCCCAAGUGCUCUUGCAACAUCAGUAAAUGCAAUUCCAGGGUUUUCUUUCUUCAGAUUCUCUCUUUCAGAAUUAGAGAAAAACAUGAAACCAGACAUGGCCCUCUUUGGUGCAUUAGG
Molecule: unclassified non-coding RNA, 263 nt
Filed under: Hevea brasiliensis (rubber tree)
Lineage: Eukaryota; Viridiplantae; Streptophyta; Magnoliopsida; Malpighiales; Euphorbiaceae
Source: RNAcentral